RNAcentral lists this long non-coding RNA (29602 nucleotides) under Gossypium raimondii (Peruvian cotton). RNAcentral describes it as "long non-coding RNA (GRAI_LNC007534)". The record is from RNAcentral. Lineage: Eukaryota; Viridiplantae; Streptophyta; Magnoliopsida; Malvales; Malvaceae.
GGUCUAUACUGAUAUCCAAAGGCAACCUAUUCACUGGGGGCAAAUCAAAACCAACCUUGAGAAAAGAGGAAAACCAAAAUUUAAAGUUACAAAGUUUGGGUACAUUGCAUCUAUUGAAAUUGAUCCCGUGAGCCGUUCACCCACAAUGAAGGCAUCAUUUGAGUUAGAGGCAUAACUGCCUUUGCUUCUUCAUAAAGCUAUGCUGGUAAUUAAGGCUAUCAAAAUUAAAUAAUAGUGUGCUGCCUGCUGCUGCAUUACCUGUACUACUGUUAUGGUAAUAAGUUUUGAUAGCCAGUACAACCAUUAGAAAGUGUGUAGGCCUUCACAAUCAUGUCAGUGCCAUGUGUGUAUACAUGGUUGACUGUUUGUAUAAUACUAUGGAAAAAUAAAACAGAAUGGCCUUUACUAUUUUAUCUUUUGACUCAAUUUAUACUCUAUGUUUUCUCCAACUUCUGCGUCCAUCCAUCAAAUCAUCAAACGACAAACCAGGAACCAUAACAUAGUAAAUCGGACAACAAAUAAACCCCCAAAAACAAACCAUGUUUCCAACAGCAGAAUAAAACAUAACUAGCAUCCCAGCAACUCAAUACAUAACCAGUAGCAGCAACUGCCACCAAGUUUUAAAACAUGCUGGAUUGGUAAAAGUCAGCAAUGGUCAAGCCAUCGGUUACACAUUCUACCUGAAGCUUUGACAAUACAGACAUCACCAAUAGCUUAAACCAAAUCAUCAAUGUCAACACAACUUUCUUGUAGAAUCCAUGGCCAAUGGAGCUAAUUUAAAUUCCGUACCUGUGUAUGCAAUCAAUGUUGGGUGGGAAUGCAAUCUAAUUCAAAUAAAUCUUACUUGAGCGUGUUUGUUGGAUAAAAUUAGGUCUCUCUCGUUUGUAACUCUAUCGGUAAGUUAAAUUCUAAACGUGAAUUUAUAGGGUUGUUCAUUGAUAAGGAGAUUAAUUUCAACAGCUUUCUCUUGGUUAUCGAUAAAUUAAGUAGAGACUGAUUGCUAGGCACGACAUUGGCAACUUUAACUAAUCUAUUAAAAAACAAUAAAAUUAUCUUUGCAUCGAUGAUUAAACUUGUGAAUCAAACGGAUAUUUUACAAUUGGCUAGAGCUCCAUUUGAUUGGUAUUUCUUCAAUUUUUAUUAUUGCCUUCUUGGUUAAGAUUUAAAUUUAAAUUUAGUUUUUUAUUUUCUAAAAUCUCCAUCAUAUUUACUUUCCUUGUUUUUGUUUUAAAAAAUAAAGUUAAUAUCAAUCUCUAUGAAUACUACUCUACUUAAUACUAUGUACUAAAUUUAUAUUUUUUAGUAGGAUUUUAUUUUUAUAGGUCUCCACAAUUGUACAAAUUUUAGCCUUUUUAUCAUAUAUUAAUGUUAAUAAUUUUAUCUCUUUCUUGUUUUUAAUUUAAUUUAAUUUUUGUUCCUUUUUAUGUUUUGGUCUUUCUUUCUUUUUUCUGUCAUAAAAUAUAUUUAUUAAAAUUAAAAUUUUGAUCUUCUUGUGUAGGUGAAAUAGUACAAUCUUGAGUUAGAGAGAACUGCUCGAAGACUAAGGAAGAGAGUUCAAGCGAGAACUAACCCACCGUCUUCAUUACCCAACUAGUUACAUAGAACAACUCAGUCGAUUCAUCUACCGAAUCAAAAGGAGAAGAACCAAUUUCUCUCUUAAAAAAUUCUGAAGCAACAACUGGUAUGCAUUGAGUAUCUUAGAUUAGAGGUAUCUUUUGAAUCAUCUAUUGCCUACUUUUUGUGGUCAAGAAAACGAAGAUCCUCAUAAGCACUUGAAGGACUUCCAUGUAGUGUAGUUUGUUCUACUAUGAGACGACAAUGUGUGAUCAAAGAACAAACCAAACUAAGAGCCUUCCCGUUUUCACUAGCCAACAAGGUGAAGGAUUGGCUAUGUUAUCUACCUCCUGGAUUGACAUGAUAAGAUUAUUUUCGGAUUUUUUUUUACGUCAUGUGCUACUUCUACUAGGAAAAAGUUACAGCAUCAAGCAAAACGGCAUGGAGACUCCACGAGUAUUGGGAGAGAUUUAAGCAAUUAUGUGCUAGUUGCUCCCAUCAUAGAAUUUUGGAACAAUUAUUCAUCCAAUAUUUUUAUGAAUUACUCCUACCCAUGGAAAUAAAUAUGAUGGAUGUUGUCAACGAAGGUGUCAUAGUGAAUAAAACUCCUCAUGAGAUCAGAAAGUUAAUUUCGAUCAUGGCUGCUAAUUUGCAGUAGAUCAAAUUCAGCUAUGACAAACCGAUAAGAGUAAAUGAGGUAAAUGUCACUUCUCUUUUAAAAUAGAAUUUCUGAACUGACUUCUUUUACUGAUCAGAUGGUUGUAGGAAACUCUCGUCAUGUAAAGGGUUGUGGGAUCCGUGUAUAUUCAAUCCAUAAUCGAGACAGAAUAAGGAGUCACCCACUUGGUUGGAAAUUAGAAAUUCAAUGGGAUAGGAUACUUUAUCCGAUUGGAUCUAACAUUCUGAAGAGAUUAGUAUGUUGUUUUUAUGGCCAUGUUUUCCAGACCAUGAGGCAUUCAACACUUUGAAACACUGCUUAGUUAAUCUAUACCAUACUUAUGUGUUUUAAUGAUGAGUUGGUGUGAUGGAUUAUUACUUCAGUUUUAAAAUUAUUAAAAAAUUCUUUUAUAUACUAAUUAAAUUAUAUUUUUGUAAUAAUAUUUUUUUAUUAUCUUUUUUACAUAUAAUAAAUCAAUAAAAAUUUGAUCAUAAAGAUAUUUGAAUUCAAAAUAUCAUGCAUAGAUAUUGCCAUCCCAUUUUUUUUAAACAAUUCAUCAAAUUUCAACUAAAAUUGCAUAUCAAUUUUCAAUUGAUUAGAUAUUAAUUUUUUUUAAAAAUUAAAUAAUGUUAAUUUUCAAUUGAUUGAAUUUUUUCAACACUUUCUCAAACAGGCAUAUGAGAAAUUUAGCACAAAUACCAACAGCUGGUAGCGCCCGCCCACGAGUCGUAGAAGUAAUCGGAUGCGCUAAUGGUUGAGUGAUACCCAAAACAAACUGAGCCUUCAACCUUUGCCUAUGAAAUUUGUCAGCAAAAUCGACAUCAUGUUGCGAGGAAAACACCUCACCCUUCCAAAAAAAAACAAGUUAUGAUGGAACCAAAUGCUCCACAAAAUAGUAAGAGUCCAACAAACUCUAUUAACAUCAACUGACUCAAGCAAAGUGCGAAUAAAAUGGAGAACAUCAAAAUGCGGAUGUGGGAGUCCAGAAUAUUACCAAACCACCCGAGUGAGCGCACAAGAAUUAAAAACGUGAUCAAGCGUUUCCAACUCUCCACGUCGGAUACAAAUAGAAGGCACAUUUAAUCCUUUAACAAUUAACAUUGCCUUGGUAGGAAUAAAGUUUCUGAGACACCUCCGAUGGGAAAUGGCCAUUCCAAAUCUUCAAUCAAGGACCACCGGCUUCAUUCGAAACAGAAUUGGAAUACAAAUCAGAGGCUAACUUGCAUCCUGAUUUUAUUGAAUAUGAUCCAUUACUAGACCAACGCCAAAUCAUCUUAUCCAAUCCUUUAUGCAGAGCUAUCGGGAUCUUAUAAAUGCAACUACAAUCAACUUAUCUCAGACAUCAUCGGUAUCACUAAGUAAAUCGCACACCUUCUAAUGUUCCAUACCCAGCAAAGGAAUAGAAUCAAUAUAGAAAUUAUAUAUAUUCAGGUUAGGUUGGGCUCGGGCUUAAAAACUCUACUCAAGGCCCGAACGGGCCUAUACAUUUUUUCAAGCCCAUUUUUUUAGCUUUAUCUACUUGUCCAAACCCUCUCAUAUUUCGAGCAAGCUUUCAAGUUCAGAGGGGUAACUUGACACUUAGACAACUCUAAAUUAAAGCAUAGUAAACAAUUAACUUUACAUUUAUAAUAAAAAAUACCAAUUGAUUUUUAUGUGAAUUUUUAAUAAAUAUAUUUUUAAAUAACUUUAUUUUUCAUUUAUAUUAUAAAUAUAAGUGUAUCAUAAAUCUCGUAUUUAUUAAACAUCUCACUUUAAUAAAUAAGUAAGGAUGCUAACAAACAUAUUCCUCUAUAAUGGAUCAGGGAGCUGAAUAUAUGCUUUAAAAGAUGGUGACAAUUAGCAUGUAUAUACACACACACACGCAUGUAUACAUUUCAAUUAGCCAGGUAAAAGGCAAAAUCAAGCACAUGCACAUGAUAAUGAUGAAUGAAGGCACUUGCAUAUUCCCUUUUUUUCCUAAGAAAAACAAAAAGGAAAUUAACAUGCAUAUAUUCAUUUGGUGAGAACAUAUAUUUGGAAGGCAAAUCCUUUUAUCUGCUCACCUUAUUUUGGAAUUAUGAAGUUUAAAGUGGAUGCAACCACAAAAGAGAUGUCUAGAUCGAUUAGGAAUAUAAUAUCAAAUAUUCUGAAAGAAAAAGAAAUUUUUUUAAGCGUAACAACUAUAAUAUAGUUACAAAUAUAAAUAAUCAUAAAUCGAUCGUUCUAAUAUAAUCGAGAUUAACAUUAAAUUAAGAUUAAUUAAAUUAAAACUCAAAAACCUUACGUAAAUAUUUAUGCAUAGUAAGUCUUAAACUGAAGUACUUACGAUCCAAGAAAUCCAUUUUUGUCAACUGAACUAAAAUCUCAUUUGAUUGAAUUUUAAAUAUUUGGUUAUUCUUUAAAAAUAGUAAAAUAAAAAAUUUUCAAAAAGUAAAAAAAAAAUUAAAUCUAGUAAUGUCAUUAAUAUUAUACAUGCUAAAUUGCAUGUACACAAUUUUUUUAAAAAUUAAAUAUUACAUAAAAUACGAUACGUUAGAAAGAGUAAUUUGAUAUUAAAAGAAAUUCAAACGCUAAUUUAAUACGAAAUAUAAUUUCUAAAAACUCUUUAGCACGAAAAUUUAAUAUCCUUAGUAAUUGGGUUCGGUUAAAUAAAGAUGGUUCAAUCAAAAUCGAAGAAAGUUUCAUUGUGGCUAGAGGAUUAGUGAGUAACCAUAAUAGGGGUGGAUAAUUGGUUUCGACAAAUACUUUGGAAAUUGUACAGUUUAAAAGGCUGAAUUAUGGGGUGUAUUUGAUGGUCUAAAACUUAUUAGAGAUCAAAACUUUGAUAGAGUUUACCUUGAAGCUGUUAACACAAUUUAGGAAAGUUCUUUCGGAGACUCAAAUUCCACUUUAGUUAAAAGAAUUCAUUAGCUCUUAAGAAGGAUAAAACAUUGGAGGAUUCAACAUAUCCUUCGAAAAGAGAAUUUAAUUGUGGAUAGAAGAACAGUGUAAUAUACGAAAAAUCCUCUUUUGGAGAAGCUAGUUUAAUUUAGUUUUUUUUCUUUUUGCUUUAUUUUACAAAAAAAGAAAUUGAUAUUAAAAUUUUAUUUUAUAUUUUUCUCCAAGAUACAAUUUUCAUCUAUAUUUUUUUUUCAAUCAUCCACGUAAUAAAUGUGACGUAAUCUAACAUGAUUUUAACUUAAAGAGUAUCUUAUGCUUUCGUGACUAUGUUAAGUGGCUUUUGGAAAUUCAAGAUUCCACCAGUUCUUAUUUAAUAACUAUUAAUGUUGUCCGAAAAUGAUUUUUAAAAAAUAAAUUGAUUUUAAAAAAAUUGAUAGAUUUUAUUGUUUGGAUAAUUUUUUGUAAAAUAUUUUUCGUUAUUUGAAAAAUAUUUUUGGAAUCAUUUUAUAAAAAUUGUUCUUCAUGAACAAGCAUAGCAUAAAUAUAUUUGUUGCAAAAUAUUAUAAUACAAUUUCCUUUUGACAAUUUAAUUUAAUUUUAUAAUAAGAUGAUACUUUGUAAUAAUCAAUAUCAUAUAUAAACUUGAUAAUAAAUAAUGCCUAAUUAAAAUUUAAUUUACUUUACAUAUAUUCUAUAUAUGAGAUAAAUUAAACUAAACAUUAUUUAAACAAAUACUCAUAUUUCAAAUUUUAUAUUAAGUUACAAAAUUUCAUAAGUCCUUGUAUUCUUUGUAAAUUUUAAAUUUAGUCCCUAUAUUUCUAUUUUUGAAAAUUUGAUCAUAAUUAUAUUUAAACUCAAAACAUCAUGCAUAGAGCUGUUGUAACGCCCCAAAAUCUUAAACUUUCGAUUUAUUAAAUUUUAUUAUUAGUCAAUAUUUGCUUCAGUGGUUAAUGGUCUUUAGUGUGGCUUGGAGAUCACUAGUUUGAAUUUUUGCGUGGGUGUGGGGUGAUUUUAUUUUGUUAAACGACUUUGAGUGCUGUUUAGUGAACGGAGUUUAUGUUAAGAGUUGAACUCAACCUGUAAGGCUGUUUGGAUUGAGGGUUUGUUUUGAAAAGAUUUAGCUAAUUUAUUUAUUAUUUUAUUUUGUUUUGUUUCAAAACUACCCACUUUACUCACGUUACCUAUCUUUCUCCCCAAUUUUGUUUCAUACAUUUUUCUUUUCUUCCUUUUUCUUUCAAGCUACUAUGUUUUUGACGUUCUUGCUGAUUUUCUUUUACCCAAAUAUUUCGUCUUUGAUUUUGAUUCUUCUUUUUAUUUUAUUGAUUGCCAAGCUGAGGUUGCUUAUAAUCUCUGUUUUUUUCAUUUCUUUUUCUAUUAUUUCUCCCUGGUAUGAUUUAGUGACGUUGGGUAAGUUUUAAUGCUAUUCUUGGAUUUAUAAUUUUUGGGGGCUUGGUUCUUUUGAUGUUUGUUGUGAAGGUUUAGUUUGGAAAUUUGAUUUUAUGUGAGUUAUGUUUAGGUGAGGAUUGUGUGAUGGUGGGUUCUUCGACGAAUUGGAUUCGCUCAAGUUGUGAUCGAUAGGAGGUGAGUGUUCUGCUAUUAUGGGGUUAGUUCGUAUCGAUUUCUAGAUUCGUUCAUGUAGGAUUUGUUACAUUAAUCGUUUAAGUUGGAGAAAUUAUGUUGUUAAUUUGUAUUAUUUUGUCAAUUUAGGUAUUAGAAUAUUUUUUUUUGGAGUGUGCAUCAGAUUUUUGACCAGGUGUGAGAAACCCAAAAAACAACAAACAACGAAAGCUAAAAAAUUGUAUUGUCGACACCACACGGUUGUGUGGUAGGCCGUAUGUUGGACCGUGUGUGACACACGGUCUAGGCUAUUUGGGCUGUGUGGACCACAUGAGUGUGUGGGCCAUACUGGCAUGUGUGAGGCCAUUUGGGCUACACAGGCUAGGCCAUUUGGACCAUGUGAGCCCAAAUUUCUAAAUUUUUCUCUAGGGUCGUACACAUCGUUCUGAUCGAUCAUAGGCCUUCUGUGAGGUCGGUAUGUGAUCAAAUAGACUUUAAAGCAUGAAAUCCGGUGAACUGUUAGUAUAAAUUAUGAUAUCUAUUCAUAUAUUUGAGAUGUUAUUUGUUAAAUAAACCUUGUAAUAAGAUAUAAGAAACCCGAGAAAUGCUAUGUAUGUUUUGUAUUUGUUAUGUCAUGCAUGUAUAAAUGUAGCAUUAUGAUUAUGUUUUGUUCUAUAUUUGCAUCUAGGAUGGGUUAUAUUAUGUGGAGGAAGUGUUUUUGUGAAUGGCGAUAAUUUGUCUAUUACACUGGCAACUUAAUUGCAAAUAUUCUGAAAAGUGUCAUAUCGACAGUAAAUGGUGUGUAGGGUUGGAUGGGUAUUUCAGACCAUAUAUGGUGUGUUGGGAUGGUCGGAGAUGGUGUGGAGCGGAUGGGGGUAGGAAUAUAUGUAUGUAUCUGUACUUCUCUAAUAUGAAUCUGUCGCAAGUGAAUAUGAUAUACGAAUUGUGUAAGUGUAAACAUCGAAUCAAAUAAUAAAGUGAUUAGUGUGUAUCGUUCCCACGAUGAUCGAAUUAGGUACACAAAUGGUCAAUAUAAUAUAAUAAAAUGUGAUUAAUACUAUGGUAAAACUAUGGUAAGUAUGCAGUGACAAUUAAAAGGAAUAAUGAUGUAUGCAAUAUAUGGAGUUAAUGAAUACUUGGAAAUGCUAUGGCAAAAUGAGAGUAGGAAUGUAAUGACAAUUAUGAAAAAGAUUAUAUGAUUAAUAUGUAACUGACAAAUUAACAACUAAGGAUGUGAUGUCAAAGAUACUACGACAAAAGGUAAGGGUUAUGCGAUGUUGAGUGGGAAGGUCGGGAUUACUAAGAAUCUACUUUUUCUGUCAGCAAUGCCUUAGAAAAAUCAUACUUAACCUACUUCUUUGAAGAGUUCUAAAGUGACCUGCUUCUUUCGGAAGUAGAAACAUCAAGUUACCUCGCCUGUGUCUAUAGGCCUUUGAUAUGGUACCCUGCACUUUUUCCUUCUGUAUGAACGUUGCUCUAUGUCUAGAGUCUACUACAAGUAUCUGUAGAGUACUCGCUCAUAUCAUUCAACCAUGGUCUAACUAAUCUAACCUUUUAGACUUUAGAUUAAUUUAAGGGUAUGCUGCAUAGUCGACUAUGUCUAGGGAUUGCUCACAGACAUUUUAAAGAAUAAAACAAUUGAAUGAAAUAGUAAAAUAAUUCAGAUUUAUAUUGUAGUCAUUAAAGACAGUUAAAGUUCAAUAAAGUAACCCCAACCACAUGAGAUUUAGCUCAUAGGUUGGCAAAUAAAAUUUAACUUGUCGUUUUCAUCACUGUAAUUAACGAAUGAACAUAUUAGAAAUAAUGGAAGAAUGUCGGGAAGACAGUGUUCACUUGUCCAAUCAACACUCCAGCUGCGCAGUGUCCUGAGGUGGUUAAGAGGGACUGCCUUUGUUUUUCCUUUUCUUGUCUCUAUUCAGCCUCUACCUUUCUAUUGCGCCUCAGGUUCUCACCUUUUGUUCACUUCUAGGGUUUCCUCCUUUUCUUUUUUUUAUUUUUUCUUUUUCAGAAUAACUCCAACGGCUCAAGAUUUAUCUUCUCCUCUUUUCUAGGCAGAUUUAUCUGGUACAAGUAGAGUUGGAUUGAAACUGAUAUAAGUUAAAUGUUGACUAGACACCUUUUUAACAUUGCCAUGGCAUACGAAUUGGAAAUUUGACCACCUUUUUGCCCUAGCAAAACUUCACUCUUUUAUUUCUUGUUCCUUACCCUACACCUGCCAAUACCACAAAACACAACCUUUUCACAAGCGAUUAAAAGUACCUAAUAUUUAAGUGCAGCCCAAGUUCUAAUGCAAUGCUAAAAAUACUAAUUAAAUGUCCUAAAAUGCAACUAGAUGUACUUCAGUAUAGGCAAUUAACUAGGUCAAAAGGCAUGAAAUAUAACGCUUGAAACAAGAGUUAUCUGUCUGAUAUAAAUUAAUUGUUUAAAGUUAUCCGUUAUACACUGAGUUUUGUAAGCUCACUUUCUAUUUGUCUAAUAUUUUCAGGUAAUGCUCAAACUUAGGUGAACUGGUGUGAUAAAGCUUGGUUAAAUUGAUUUAGUUUCAUUUUUUAUUUAACUUAAAUUUGGGGUUAUUGCAUUUCAUUAUUAUUGGACUGUUGAGACUUUUUGGACUAUUUUGAUUUUGGGGAUUUUAUUUUCAAAUUUUGCAUGAUACUAUUAAAAACAUUUUGUCGAAAAUGUUUCUUUUCCUACAAAACAACUGAUUUUGAGAAAAUAAACUUGGUUUUCCAAAAUAUAACGAUCUGAGAAUUUCCGCUGCUAAGUAUUCAUUUUAGAAAAUGUAAGCAAACAUUGUUUUCAACUAUAAAGUUAAGUUGGAUGUAUUUUUCUAUUAAACUGGGGUUUAAGUAAUAAAAGUUUACAACAUUUUCCCAAAAUUUACAAAAAACUGGAUUUACAACCGUUUAAUGUAACAUCUCCAUAUUUGAUCAUAACGUCUAGGCUGGGCUUAGGUUGUUACAUUUAGUGGUAUCAGAGUAAAGUUGCAAAACUUAGGUUGUGAAAUUCAAAAUUUUUUUCCGAGUAAAGUUCCUUUCUACAUUAAUCGAAAAAAUAAUUCUGUGAAAUCCCGAGUCUCCGGUGUCGAUUCUGUAAGUACUUCUGACUUAGAUAAACCUUAGUUUAGAAAACUUUAAAUUGGUUAGAACCAUACUGUGAUAAUUAGAGACUGAAACAUCUCUGUAUAUUCUUCUAAUAAGUUUUUGAGCAUAAAAUAUCUACCAAUAAAUACUGGAACUGAUACAUAAAAUUUGUAAUGUAGAUAAUAUAUACGAUGAGUACUUAUGGAACACGUAGACUCGAUACCCGUUUGUGCGGUGGGCACCGAAGAGGGGCUCGAGCUGAGUCGUCCUUGAUGGGUAGUAUGCCUAAUUUGGAUACAAGCGAGACAUCAGGUACACCUACUACUGAGACUGGGUCUCAAAGUUGCUCGGCUGGGAUCGACUCAUUGUCCCAUGCCAUACUCAAGGUUUUGGAGAGGUCGUUGGACCCAUUUUGGUCUUGAGAGCCGUGGGUCAGUAACUGAACGAAUUUGGUCCAAUGGUGCUGAAUUAUUCAGGGGUGUUACUAGAUUCACCCCAGCUGUGGCCGAAUAUUGGUAGGAGGCCACAUAGAGGAUUAUGAACGAUAUCACUACACCCCUGAGCAUAAAUUAAAAGAUGCAGUACCAUUGCUUUGCAAUGUGGUAUAUCAGUGGUGGUUGACGGUUGAUAAGGGUACUCAGUCGAAUCAGAUUACGUGGGAUCAUUUUAAGAGCGCCUUCCAGAGUAAAUAUGUGAGGGCGAGUUUUAUGGAUGCUCAUAGACGUGAGUUUAUAAGCCUUACUCAGGGGGAAAAGGCUAUGGUCUAGUUUGAGGCUGAAUUCCUAAGAUUGAGCAUAUAUGCUCGUGGGCUAGUAUCAAAUAACUAUUAUAAGUGUAUCCGCUUCGAGGAAUGCUUAAGAGAUAAUCUCAGGGUUCUGAUAGCUUCGCAAAGGGAGCAGGUUUUUGCCAUCUUAGUGGACAAGUCGAGAAUUUCUAAGGAGGUUAAGCGUGUUGAGCGUGAAAGUAGGGAUCGUGAGAGAGGUAACAAUAAGAUGGAUUCAGAGCCCUCUAGUCCUAUUUCAAGGCCUAAGAAACGGGUUAGAUCUGAUUGGCCUCCGAGGGUUGAGGUUCCUGUUGCUCCUACUGUGGUUCAGCUGUGUAGAAAUUGUGGUAGGCAUCAUCUGGGAAAAUAUUUGAGGAGGUUAGGAGCUUUUUUACGAUGUGGGUCAAUGGAGCACCGCAUUAGGGAUUGUCCACAGCAUUCUAAUCAGGUGCACGCUCUAGCUUCAGGUUUAGUUUAGCAUCAGCGGGUAGUUCAGUAGCCGCCUAGAGGCUGUGGUACGGCUAGGGGUGGUAACGGUAUAGGUAGAGGUCAAAGAGUAUCGGGGUAAAGGUGUUAAUCAGACUGAAGCUAGACAGUUUGCACUAGUAUAUGUGACUAGACCUCGUAAGGACAAAGAUACCGCGGAUGUUAUCACUAGUACGUUAUUCAUUCAUACUACUCCCUAUAUUGCUUUGAUAAAUAUAGUACCGACACACUCUUAUAUAGCUAGUUCUGUCUUUGUGAACUUGGGUAUGUCUGUUAAGAGCACUUUUGGAGAGAUUACUGUGGUUAGUCCACUGAGUCAGUCAGUUCGGGUUAACAGGUUUUAUAGGAAUGUACCACUGGAAUUUUAAGGGGUUGUGUUUACAGCUAAUUUGAUGGAGUUGCCAUUAAGAGAAUUUGAUUUAAUUUUGGGAAUAAACUAGCUCAUAGAACAUCGGGUCAGUUUGGACUGUGCUACUAAGAAAGUAGUUUUGAGAUUUGAGAAUGAUGUGGAAGUGAUUAUAAUUAGCGAGUGUCGGAAUUACUUAUCCAAUGUGAUCUCCGCUCUUAUGGCUGAAAAGUUGGUUCGUAAAGGAUGUGAGGCAUUUCUGGCCUAUGUGUGUGAUUCAACUUCUGUGGAUUCAUUUGUUUAGUACAUUCAAAUGGUUAAGGAGUUUCUGGAUGUCUUUCCUGAGGAGUUGUCAGGUUUGUCUCCGGAUCAGGAAGUCGAGUUCAGUAUCUAGAUUAUACCAGGUGCAGCUCCGGUGUCCAUUGCUCCCUACUACAUGGCACCGAAAUAGCUUAUGGAACUAAAAGCUCAGCUUCAGGAACUCCUCGAUCGAGGGUUCAUUUGACCUGGUGUGGCCUUAUGGGGAGCAUCGGUUCUAUUCGUAAAGAAGAAAGAUGGUACUAUGAGGUUAUGUAUAGAUUACCGUCAGCUAAAUAAAUUGACGGUAAAAAAUAAGUACCCAUUUCUGAGGAUCAAUGAAUUGUUUGACCAGUUUCGUGGGGCUUCUGUGUUCUCCAAGAUAGAUCUUCGUUUUGAUUAUCAUUAGCUUAAGGUUAAAGAGGUCAAUGUUCAUUAGAUUGCUUUUAAGACUCGUUGUGGGCACUACGAGUUCCUAGUCAUGCCAUUUGGUUUGACGAAUGAUCCGGCUACAUUCAUGGACCUUAUGAACCGAGUCUUUCAACCAUGAGAUUUUGGUAUACUCUAAUAGUGAAGAUGAUCAUGAUAAUCAUCUUAGAGUACUUCUUCAGAUACUCUGUGAGAAACAGAUUUAUGCUAAGUUAAGCAAAUGUGAGUUUUUACUUAAGGAAGUCACCUUUCUGGGUCAUGUGGCUUCUGCUGAGGAGAUCUGAAUUGAUCUUAAGAAAAUUGAGGCUGUGCUUGAGUGGAAGCAACCUAAGAAUGUUUUUAAGAUCCGCAGCUUCCUUGGGUUAGUGGGUUACUAUCAGAGGUUUGUCGAGGAGUUUUCACUUAUCGCAGCUCCUCUAACUAAGUUACUGCGUAAGAACGCAUCAUUUAUCUUGACUGAUGAGCAGCAAUCGAUCUUUAAGAAACUCAAAUUUUUUUACUCAGGCUCCUGUUUUGAACAGUUUGAAUGCAAUAAGGAGUUUGUGGUUUAUAGUGACACAUCACAGGUUGGUUUGGGUUGUGUUCUGAUGCAAGAUGGUAAGGUAGUGGCUUAUGCAUCCUGACAGCUUAAGUCACAUGAAGGCAACUAUCCCACGUAUGAUUUGGAGUUAGUUACGGUGGUCUUCGCCUUAAAAAUCUGGAGGCACUAUCUGUAUGGUGAAAGGUGUAUCAUUUACACCGGUCACAAGAGCCUCAAGUAUCUCUUUACUCAGAGAGAGUUAAACCUUAGGCAAUGUAGAUGGAUUCAGUUGCUUAAGGACUACGACUACACGAUUGAGUAUCAUCUCGAUAAGGCCAAUGUGGUUGCUGAUGCUCUUAGUCGUAGAGUAAUGUCUGACUUAAGGACAAUGUUUGCUCGCCUAGGUCUAUUUGAUGAUGGGAGUCUAUUAGUCGAGUUGCAAGUUAAGCUGACUUGGAUUGAUCAAAUUUGGGAUAAACAGUUGGGGGAUGAUUCUCUGGUUCUAUGUUUCUGUCAGGUUGAGGAAGGAAGUACUACUGAUUUUGGAUUGAACAAUGAUGGGGUUUUGUGUUUCGCAGGUCAAGUCUUUGUGCCUAAUGACUCUGAUUUGAGGUAAUUCAUUCUGCGGGAAGUGCAUAAUAGCCCUUAUGCUAUGCAUCCUGAAUUUUUAGCAUCAAGAAUAGGAAUAAAAAAAAGUUUUGAUAUGAAGUCUACAAAUUUCAUGCGCAUAAACAUUGUUGUUAUGGACAAUGCAUGCAUGGUGUAAACUACUAUAUAAGUAGGUGUGUAUUGCAAUAUCCGAAGCAUAACACAACCAAACCAAAGCACAUAGAAAGCUACCAUGGCUUCUUCUUAGAAAAUGGCUCAACAAACCACAAACGGAAAGCUUUGGAACUCUUCCAGCGAAGCUCUAACCUUAACUGACAAGAAAGUUUGGCAAAGCUCUCAUUAUGCGAAUUUUCCAGAAAUAAUUGAAGAUGGAGAUGCGGGCGAGUUUACCCAUGAAUCAGUGACUGAUGAUGCUGAUAUUCCAGGUUCAGUUGCUGGUCUUGUGUACAGGCGACGUGAUUGAACAAAGUGGGUUGUUGCCUGGAGCAACCCACUAGAUGAGAACAACAAGGUAUAUAUUAAAUUCAAUUCAAUCUUAUCAUUAAUUAACUAGUUAGAAUGCGUAUAUAUAAUCAUUUAAUCUAUGAUUAUUGCAUGCAUGCUGCAGGUCUAUACUGAUAUCCAAAGGCAACCUAUUCACUGUGGGCAAAUCAACACCAACAUUGAGAAAAGAGGAAAACCAAAAUUUAAAAUUACAAAGUUUGGGUACAAUGUACCUAUUAAAAUUGAUGCCGGGAGCCGUUCACCCACAAUUAAGGCAUCAUUUGAGUUAGAGGCAUAACUGCCUUUUGCUUCUUCAUCAAGCUGUGCUGGUAAUCAAGGCUAUCAAAAUUAAAUAAUAAUGUGCUGCCUGCAGCUGCAUUACCUGUACUACUAUGAUAGUAAUAAAUUUUGAUAGCCAAUAUAACCAUUAGAAAGUGUGUAGGCCUUCACAAUCAUGUCAGUGCCAUGUAUAUAUACAUGGUUGACUAUUUGUAUAAUAUUAUGGAAAAAUAAAAUAGAAUGACCUUUACUAUUUUAUCUUUUGACUCAAUUUAUACUUUAUAUUUUCUCCAACUUCCUCAUCGACCCAUCAAGUCAUCAAACUACAAACCAGGAACCAUAACAUAGAAAACUUGACAACAAAUAAACUCCCACCAGCAAACCAUGUUUCCAGCAGCACAAUAAAACAUAACUAGCAUGCCAGCAACUCGAUACAUUACCAGUAGCAGCAACAACCACCAAGUUUUAAAGCAUGCGAGAUUGGUAAAAGUCAGCAAUGGUCAAGGCAUCUGUUACACAUUCUACCUGACGCUUUGACAAUGCAGACAUCACCAAUAGCUUAAUUCAAAUCAUCAAUGUGAGCACAACUUUCUUGUAGAAUCCAUGGACAAUGGAGCUAAUAGCAACCCAAAAGUAAACAGGACAACUUUUUCGCUGAGAUAUCUAAUCUCGUGGUACAGGAUGGUUGAGGUUAAGGCUUAGAUGGUUGUGGAUUGACCUUGUUUGAUUACGGUAAGAUUGUCUUGGGAAAGCAUCUCUCGCAAUUGAGCUGGAGCCUUGGUUUCUAUAAGUCCAUUUUAAAAGCUUCUUAAAUAACAUACUGAAAAAUAGAUAAAGAAAAGAGAGUAAAAAAGGUACGCUGGGAGCCCCAGGAUAGUUAUCCCCAUAAAAACACAAGAACCAGAUCAAAACUUGCCCAAACAUGUAAAAGCAAAAGAACUACAAAACAAAAUCAAACCCACUAUUAGAACUUACAGUAUAAAAGAUCCCACAACGCCAUAAACAUUAUAUGAUCAACUGUCAUUCAGGCGUCAUCCACCUCAAAAGCCUCCUAAACAACAUACCGAAGAAAGAUAAAAGAAAAGAGUAGAGAGUUUAAAAGGUACCAUUUCAUACAGGAUAAGGUUUUCUCUCUGUAAUAGACUAAGUAAUUUAAAGUGAAAAAAAUGUAAAAUCAUUGAUGAAGUUAACAUGGAUUGUUAGAAAGUAAUGAUUUGGCAGUUAAAUUCUUUAAGAAGCUGUGAGAUUAUGGGGUGUGUUAUUUGUUUGAUGAGUUUUGCUAACUACAAUUGUUUGCUUAAUAUGAAAACAAUUAAUGAAAGUGCUACACUAAAGUGAUCAUUAUUGCUUGGCACUUGAAUAAUUGUGCAAAUGAAAACACAAAAAAUAUCAAGAUUUAUUUACGUAGUUUAGUCAGUGAGCAAUUCCACUAUCUUUAAUCACAAAUGCAAAAGGUGAUUCACACUCUAUUAGUCCCCAAGCAUAGAGAUCUCACUUUUAUCCCUAAAAAAUUAGAACACUCACCUCCAAAAUAGCCAUAGCAUGCAUGGCAUAACCAGGCAGAGUGCACGCGUGCGUAGUAGGGGACUAGGGGCAAGUAGGGCUAGCGCCACGACUCACACCCCCUUGCAAGCCUUGCACAAAUGCAACAGCUUCGGUUCCUUAGUUUGGGGAAGCUUUUAUCUAUUUUUAUAUUCGUUUGAUGUGAAACUUUAAAUUUUUCAUUCGAUCAAAAUUUUGCACAUCACGACAAAGUUGGAUCUUAGAAAAAUAUUGUUCAAACGUUCGAAAACUAGAAAAGUUCAAGAUCCAAAAUAUGCAUUGUGAAAAAAUUUGUAAUCUUUUACAAAUUUUCUUUUUCUAAAAUGGAGUCAUGAAAAUUUUUAGCUGUUUAGAGUUGAUUUUAUUUCUCAUUAUGAAUUAGAUAUUGAUUUUAUUAUGUUUAAUUGAAUGUUGAUAAAAUUGAUUAGCAUGUCAUGCAUAUAUGAUGAAGCAUGUUACAGAUUAUAAAAGAAUGUCACUUGAUCUUAUUUGCAUAUUUAAUCUUUCAUAUAUGAAAUUAGAAUUUAAAACUUUACAUGUUUUUGGGAUAGUAUAAUAAUACUUUGAGCCAGUUUUAACCCAUAGCCUCUAUUAAUGGUAUCUAAGGGAUAGUAUAAUAAUACUUUGAGCCAGUUUUAAUCUGGCUGCAUCCUAUGAUAAGUAUUAUCAUGUGGAUCACAGGAUGAGAUUUUCUUUAAAAGGAUAACAAGUCAUAUAUGAUUCUUAUUAAGAUUAUCUCAUGAUAACUCGAGAAUAUAUUUAUAAUGGUUGUUAAGUUAAUUGUUAUACACUCAAAUUACAUUAGUUAAAUAGCUUCCCGCAAGGCUAUAUUUAAGUUAAAAUAAUGACAAAUGUGAAACCACUAUUAAUAACACAAGUUAUACAUGUAGUUCGGUUUCUAUAUAUUUGAGGAAUCUAAUUGAGUGAUUAAAUCUACUAUCUUUAGUCCUAAUGCAAAAAGUGAUUUAAUACCUAUUACACUCCAGUGUAGCAAACUCACUUUUUUAACUAAAGAUCUAAAUCACCCACCUCUAAGUUCCUCCUCAAAAAUUUAGUCUAAAAACUUCUUUGCAGUAUCAAUUACAAGUCUCUCCAAUCAAUUCCCCUAUAAAACUGUAGUUAAAAUAAUAUAUACAAUAUAAUAACAAAGUCCAAGGUAAUUUGUAGAUACUAGAAAAAAAUAUUCAAGAACUCUCGAUCCAAUCUUAUUUAAAGGGAUCUGAAUGCUUGAUCCAAUCCAAUCCAAUCCAAUUUAAUAUUGAAGAUAUGUUUCUCCAUUUAAACGGUCUUCAAAGAUGCUUCCAAACAUCCAAGAAAUCAUCUAAGUCAUUGCUUGACUGAUUUUGUUGAAAAGAUUAAAACUCCAAAUAAUGCAAGUCAUAUUGUCUGACGCAAUGCUAAAGCAUCUUGGAUUUUAAGUGAAUCUAUUUUCAUAACUCGGGUUUUCUUAUGCCUGUUUAUGUAGAAAAUUGAUUAAUAUUUGGAGAAAUAAAACAAAGAAAAUGAUGUAGAAUAUAAUGGAGAAGAGAAAUAAAUUUUGUAUGGAAGAGAGAAACACCCUUUCUAAUAAACUUUUCUUUUUUAUUUCACACACUCUACAAAUGCUUCAUCACAUACAACUCUUUAUAUAGGAGUUGUAAGUGACUAUUCAUCUACAUCACUUAAAUGCUAUAGGAGUUGUGACUAUUCAUCUACAUGCAUGUGUGUAACUCUUCAUCUUCAAGUCUCUUCAUAUUUCUAACUCUUCAUAAUUUAUUUUGUGCAAGAUUAAUUUAAUUAUGUGCCAACAAUGCCUCCCUUAAAUUAAACUUGCUUCGAACUCCCAACCUUUCAACAUUUUUCUUGAAGACUUGUCCACUAAGCGGCUUUGUGAAGUUAUCAGUGAUCUGAUCUUCCGUCUUGCAAUAUUUAACUUGAACAUCACCAUCAUUUACCAGUUCCCUCAAGAAGUGAUAUCGAAUGCAAAUGAGUUUAGUCCUUCUAUGAAGAACUGGAUCCUUUGUGACCGAAAUAGUAGAACUAUUGUCACAAAACAAAAUCGUUGACUUGUUCUGCUUCUGCUUAAGACUCUCCAAAAUUCCAUGUAACCAAAUCAAUUGACAUCUUGUAUAAGAUGCAAUGAUAUAUUCAGCUUCUGUAGUCGAAAGAGCCACAAAUGAUUGUUUCUUUGAGCUCCAUGAAUCUGCACCACUACCAAGGUGAAAAACAUAACCAGAAGUGCUUCUGCUAUCAUUAAUGUUUCCUUCUAAAUCACUAUUUGUAUAACCAAUGAGAUCAACUAAUGUAUUAGCUUUAUAGAAAAUUCCAUAAUCAAUGGUUCCCUUCACAUAUCUCAAUAUUCUCUUAGCAGCCUCCAAGUGAUUGGAGUAAGGUUUCUCCAUGAAUCUACUCACCAAGCUAACAACAUACACGAUGUCAGGCCUUGUCGAAGUCAGAUACAUAAACUUUCCAACCAAACUUCUGAAUAUGAUGGAAUUGACAAGCUUUCCUUCACCCUCUUUAGAUAACUUCAGACCUUUGAUGCAUGGAGUAGAGAUUGGAUUAGCAUUUUCCAUCUUGAACUUUUUUAGAACUUCCUUUGCGUAGCUCUCUUGUGAAAUAAAAAUUCCUUUCUCGGAUUGAUAAACUUCAAUGCCAAGAAAAUGAUGAAGUUCUCCCAAAUUUGUCAUCUGAAAUUCUGCCAUUAUUGAGUGCUAAAAUUCUUUCAACAUAUUCACAUCAUUUCCUGUGAAAAUAAGAUCAUUAACGUAGAUACUUAAAACCAUGAAUCUUCCUUGAGAAUUGCCUUUGAUGAGUAUGCUCAUAUGGACAUUUCUGGAAUCCACACUUUUGAAAAUAAGAAUCGAUGCGGCUGUACCAAGCUCGAGGUGAUUGCUUCAACUCAUACAAAGCUUUGUUCAACUUGUAAACUUUUUCUUCUUCUCAUUUUUUGACAAACCCUGGUGGUUGAUCAACAUAGACUUCUUCUUUGAGAACACCAUUAAAAAAUGCAGAUUUUACGUCCAUUUGGAAUAUUUUUCAAUUGUUUUGGGCGGCAAGAGAAAUAAGUAACCAGACUGUCUCAAGUCUUGAAACUGGAGCAAGUACUUCUAUAAAAUCUUCUCUUUCCUUUUACUUGCAUCCUUUUGCAACCAGUCUUGCCUUGUACUUGUUGAUAGAGCCAUUUGGAUUCAUCUUUUUCUUGUACACCCAUUUGACUCUAAUAGAAUUCUUGUGUGGCGGCAAAUCUAUGAGCUCCCAUGUAUCAUUGUUUUCAAUUGAGCAAAUCUCUUCUUUCAUGGCUUUCCUCCAUAUUUCUUCUUGAUAUGCAUCAUCAAAAGAAAUUGGAUCUUUUCCUGCAAAGAAGGCAAAGAAUACGACAUCAUUUUGCACAACUUCAUCAGUUACAUCAUAUAACUCUUGGAUACUUCUCGUUUUUCGGAUCGGGCUGAAUGAAGAAGAAUUUGAUGAAGAACUUGGGGAAGCAAGAGGAUUUGCUGCUUGAGCAACAUCUUUAACAUUCUCAAUUACUACCUCUUCUUCUUCUUCUAGUUCAAAAGGAAAAAUUGGCAAAUUCUCUUUUCUAACUUCCGUAUAUUUAAACAUGGAAUUUUCAUCAAACAAAACAUCUUGACUUAUCACAAUCUUCUUUGCCAUUGGAUUGUACAACUUGUAUGCCUUACUUCUUUCACUAUAGCCAAUGAAAAUACAAUUCUCUGACUCGUUAUCCAACUUGCUUCUCAUUGCAUCUGGAAUAUGAGAGUAAGCAACACUCCCAAAUACUCUAAGAUAACGAACACUAGGCUUUGUACCAUACCAUGCCUCAUGUGGCAUGCAAUUCUCCAAGCUUCUUGUCGGCGACCUGUUGAUAAGAUAAACUGCACAAGAAACAACUUCAGCACAAAAUCUUCUUGAUAACCUCUUCUUCUUAAGAAAACAUCUAGCCAUCUCCAUAAUUGUUUUGUUCUUUCUUUCACACACACUUUUUUUGCUGAGUUGUAUGGCAGAUUGUUAUUUCAUGCUGAAUGCCACUGUCUCUGCAAUAUUUCUCAAUUUAUUUUGAAAAAUAUUCACCUCUAUGAUCUGUCCGCAAGGUGUUAAUUUUUAGCCCAGUAAAGUUCUUCACUUCUGCCUUGAAAUCUUUGAAUCUCUGGAAAGCCUCUGGUUUUUCUUUGACAUAAUACACCCAUAACUUUCUUGAGUAAUCAUUAAUGAAAGAGAUAAAGUAACAAUUACCUCCCAAAGAUGAAACUGUCAUUGGACCACAAAGAUCCGAGUGAAUAAGUUGCAAUGGUCUUCUUGCUUUCCAUGAGGAUUGAGAAGGAAAAGCAAUUCUGUGUUGCUUUCCAAGCUGACAAGCUUCACAAACAUCGUCAAGCCGAUCGAUCUUUGGUAAACCUCUGACCAUCAUCUUUCUUGAAAGCAGCUCCAAAUUUCCAUAGUUCAAAUGUUCAUAUCUAUCAUGCCAUAACUUUGAAACUCCUUUAUGAGCACUAAUAAAACAAGACGUCUUCUGAUUUUGAAGGGUGAGAGAGAAAAGAUUAUUUGAUGCUACUCCAACUCUAGCAACAACCUGAUUUUUCCUUGACAAGUAACAAGCCAUGUCACGGAAAUGAAUAUCAUGCCCCUUCUUCAAGAGAUGCCUAACGCUAAGCAGAUUAUUUUUAAGACCAGGAACAAAAUAAACUUCAGACAUUUUCUCAACCCUUCCUUACUUUGUUUUCCAACUCCAACUCACCAACACCGCUAACUUUGUAAGCUUUGCCAUCUCCUACUUUUACUUCUCCACAAUCAGAUUCAAAUAACUUUGAGAAUAAAUUUUUGUUACCUAUCAUAUGCUUGCUAGCACCACUGUCUAUGUGUAACACCCCUUACCCGAGACCAUUGCUGGAGUCGAGCACGAGGCGUCAUCUAACUUAACUUACCAAUUCGGAGCAUAAAAAAAAUUGCCUUUAAAAUUAAUUUCACUGUUCACAACAAAACUGUCCACCUACGUGAUUGUCACUAAUUUAAUUAUAACUCUAGUUAAAAAACUCAUAAUUUAAAUCUGUAAAUUUUCCCUAAAACUAGACUCAUAUUCCUAUUUACCAUAAAAUUUUCAGAAUUUUUGGUUUGGUCAAUUAGUACUGUUUAUUCAUUAAAGUUUCCACUGUUUCCCUACUCUACAGUUCUGACCUCUUGGAAAUAAAAAUCAAUUAUCUAAUUGUACAGAAUUCAUAUAAUGUUAUCGUUUGUUUAUUUUGAAAAUAGACUCAUUAAGGAAUCUAUACAUAUAAAUUAUGAACCAUAAUCAUUUCUGUACAAUUUAUAAUGAUUUUCUAAAGUCAGAACAGGGGACUUCAAAAACCAUUCUAACCCUAUCUCACUAAAAUUCAAAUAUCUCAAAAUAUAAAAUUCCUUUUCUUACACCGUUUCUUUUACAUAAAAAUAGACUUGAUAAUAUUUAAUCGUAUAUCUCAUUCAGUCUCUAAUUCCAUUUCUACUAUUUUUGGUGAUUUUUUAAAUUCACGUCACUGCUGCUGUCCAAAAACUGCUUCUUUAUAUUAGAUACCAUUUAAACAUACAUAACACCGAAACAUAUUCUUUACUAACCAUUUCAAUAGCUAAUCUUAGCCAUAUCAUUUGAACAUACUCAAAAUGAUUAAGACUCUAUACAUGCCAUAGCUUUAAACAUUUUGAAAACACAUAAUAUCAAGGUGGCUGUGAUAGUGUGAUACAAGCUCCGACGAUCCCCAAUUCGAGCAAGCUCAAAACACUCGGAUGCAAAACGACUAUUUUUGUAAAUUAGUCGAUAACCUUCUCUUUUCCCCGAUCACUUCCACUAUUUCUUCUUUCUUGAUAAUUGAGCUUAGAAAAAUCAAGAACCCUAGCUUAUAGAACAUGAAAGUUUCGGCAACAACUCUUUAAUAUUUUGAAGAAAUGGACAUUUAUUUUCACUUUAUUUUGUUUUUUAUUCACUUUUGACAAAAAUACCCUUGACCCAUUUACUUAGAUAUUUUUCUAGAAUUACCCUUUUGAGUCCAUAACACUAAUUUAUGGUCUAUUUUCCACAUAAACACUUCCAAUUUCAUGCAAUAAUUCAAUUAAGUCAUUUAAUCACUAAUUAGACACACUUUGCAUUUUUCUCAAUUUAGUCCUAAAAAAUCAAUUAGGCACUAAAUCAUUAAAAUUUCCUAUCCAUAUUUUCAUACAAUAUUUCAAUCAAUCAGUAAUUAAUAAAAAUUUAUAAAAUUAAACUAUUUCACUUCGGAUUUGUGGUUAUAAAACCACUAUUUCGAUUAGGCCCUAUUUCAGGCUAUCACACUAUGUACCAGACAUCAUCAAUCUCUCCACCAUGAGACACGAGCAACAAAGUUUCUUGCUUUUCCUCUUGAUAAUUUUGCACUAUAUUAGCUUCAUCUUUCUCUUCUUUCUUAUACCAGCAUUCACUCGCCAAAUGACUAGGUUUGUGACAAUGAUAACAUUUAAAUUAGCCACGACCUCUUCCUCUUUGAUUUCCAUGUCCACGUCCUCUUUGUGAACCUCUAAAAUUCUAAUUUUGGUUGGCUUCUUUCCAUCCAUUCUCCGUGCUUGCAUCUUCACCUCUUCCACGAGCAUUUCAGCCUCUUCCUUUAAAGUUUCUUCCUCUUCUACGACCACGAUCUCUCCCUCUUUGAUUUUUAAAAUCUUCCUUCUUCUCAUUUAGAGACAACUUUGACUGGAGUGCUUGAUCUAGAUUUACUUCCUUCUUCUUCUUGUUUAAUCUUUCUUCAUGGGCUUGCAACGAGCCUGUGAGUUCAUCAAUGGUCAUGGUACUCAAGUCCUUUGAUUCUUCAAUGGCUACCACAAUGUAGUCAAAUCUAGAAUCCAAAGAACGGAGGAUUUCCUCAACAACACGAAUAUCAUCCAUAGUUUCACCAUUUCUUUUUAAUUGGUUGACUAUGGACAAAACUCAUGAAUAGUAAUCAGAAACAGAUUCUGACUCUGUUUUUUGUAAUCUUUCAAACUCCCCUCGAAGAGUUUGCAACCAAACUCUUUUCACCUUUUCAUCUCCUUUGAAUGAAUUCUGUAAAAUCUCCCAUGCUUGUUUUGCCAAGGUGGCACAAGUGAUUUUUUCCCAAUCUGCUUCAUAUGAUUGAACUCUUUGAUAUAUCCAAAAUAAGGCUUGUUGAUUUUUCUUCCUUGAUUUUCUUAGACUCUCUUUUUGAGCUUGUGUUAAUCCUUCCUCCUCUUCAGCCUCAACUUCAUUAUAACCUUUUUCAACAAUCUCCCAUUCUUCUAGAUAUCCAAGAAGAGCCUUCAUUUGGAUACUCCAUUUGCCAUAAUUUUCUUUGGUUAAUUAGGGAACGGAAGAAAGAGAAAUAGAAUUGUUCAUGUCGAUCAAACUUUGCUCUGAUACCAACUUGUAGAAGAUUGAUUAAUAUUUGGAGAAAUAAAACAAAGAAAAUGAUGAAGAAUAUAAUGGAGAAGAGAAAUAAAUUUUGUAUGGAAGAGAGAAACACCCUUUCUAAUAAACUUUUCUUUUUUAUUUCACAUACUCUACAAAUGCUUCAUCACAUACAACUCUUUAUAUAGGAGUUGUAAGUGACUAUUCAUCCACAUCACUUAAAUGCUAUAGGAGUUGUGACUAUUCAUCUACAUGCAUGUGUGUAACUCUUCAUCUUCAAGUCUCUUCGCAUUUCUAACUCUUCAUAAUUUAUUUUGUGCAAGAUUAAUUUAACUAUGUGCCAACAAUUUAAGGGUUCUAAAGCAUCUUGGGUCUGGAGUAGCAUUAUUGAAGGCAAGGAUUUUCUUAAAGGAACGUUGUUAUGGAAAAUUCAAAACGGAGAAUCUGUUCACAUAUGGGAGGACAGAUGGUUGAGGGGCAAUUGAGCCUCUUUCUUAUCCUGGACAGGUGGAUGAACCAUUACCAAUACUAGCAGCUGAAAUCAUAUGUAAAGAGCGUGAAUGCUGGAAUUUGGCUGCAAUCUCAAAGUGGCUAAACAACAGAGAAAUUGCUGAAAUCCACCAAAUUCCGGUGUAUAAUACUAAGGAGCAAGACAGGUUGGUUUGGCCAUAUAAUAUACAAUAGGGCAAUAUUCUGUUAAGUCCGGUUAUAAAGAGCUGAAGAAGCAAUCUGGUAAUGUGCUUACUUCUAAACCCUCUAGUUCCUAUGUGAUUGAGGUUUGUACCUAGAAAUUUAUAUGGAAACUACAGGUCCCUAGCAAAAUAAAGAUUUUUAUUUGCAAACUGUGUCAUAAUGCUAUUCCUUCAUGGCUUAAUCUUUGGAAAAGAAAGUGUGCGCAAAACUCAACUUGCUCGAUUUUUCAAGAGGAAGUGAAUCUGUUGAACAUCUUAUUUUGGGGUAUGAUUGGGUUAGGGGCGUUUGGUUUGAAGUAUGCUCUGGAUUGAAGAUCAAAAGGGAGGAUAUCAAGUCGUUUGAUGUGAAGUAAAUUUGGGAAUAGGAGUAUGAUGGUUAAGCUUGUAUAUACUUGCUCGUACAUUUGGAAGGUUAGAUGUGAAGUGGUUCUUGGAGGGAAAACUCUGGAUGUUGGACAGACCAUUCGAAGGAUCAAAUUGUCAUCUCAGGAGUUUCUUAAAGUUCAAGAGCAAAAGGUUGAAUGUGGUCCAUUAUUUGGUAGUAAAGAAUUACUGUUGAUUAUAAUUGGAUGAAUCCUCCUGAGAAUUGGAUUAAAAUAAAUUGUGAUGCAAGCUUUAAAGAAGAAUCUGAGAUGGCUAGGAUUGGGGUAAUUGGAAGAGAUUGGACUGGUUCGAUGAUUGAUGGGAUUGAGAAAGAAUUGAAGGUUUGUUCUGCAGAAGCUGCUGAAGCAUGGCCAGUUUUAACAGGGAUUGAGCUUGCAGUGAAGAAUCGAUGGGCUAAAAUUAUUAUUGAGACUGAUUAUUGCUAAACAGAUUGAGGUUGGAGGAGCAGAGAGGAGAAGGAGCAUUGGUCCCAUUUUGCAUAAAUUUGAUAGGCUGUUGAAUGAAAUAUCAGAGUUGAAGUUUCCCUCAUUAAGCGCGAAGCUAAUAGAGCGGCUGAUUGGAUGGCUAAGGCUUCUCAAAAGGGGAUGUGCAACAAUGGUUGGACUUGACAACCACCAUCUUCUUUGGUGUUCAUUCUGGACAAGGACGAAUUUCCUACUCCCCCUUCGAACUGAUAUUCAAGCUAGUUUUACAGUGAGGUAGCUGUGGCUCUCUUGUACUUGUGAGUCAAAUUUUUUACCACAACUUUUUGUAUUUUCUGAUAUAAUGAAAGUUUUGAUGUUUUUAUGGCAGAAAAAAAAAAAAAACUAAUUUGUAAGCUUAGAAAUAUCUCACUUCAUUACAAAGUGAAAAUAAAAUAAAGCCAAAACUAUAAGAUGUAUAUAUAUAAAAAAUAAAGGGAGAAUAUUUAAUGUAUAGGUAGGGGUUAGUGUUCAAUUGAAUCUAGUAAAAAUAUUUCAAGUUAAUCAAGUUGAUAAAUCCUAUUUUAUCAUUCUAAUUCGAUUAUUAAAUUUUUUCGAAUUGAAUUGAGUGAAAUGAAAUUCGAGCCAAGUCGAAUCGAAUCGAGUGAAAUUGUUCAGUUAAAUUAAAAAAUUAAAUAUAUCAAAUUAAAAUCUUGUUACAGUAUAAUUAAUUUAAUGUUAGAACACCUAAAAUUGAAACUAUAUAUAUUUGAAAACCUUUUCAAAGCAUAAUAAUAAUAAUAAUAAUAAUAAUAAUAAUAAUAAUAAUAAUAAUAAUAAUAAUAAUAAGAUACUUUAGUAUUAAAAACAUGAAUAAUUAAUUAACUUAUUUAUGUUUCCAAAUUUAUUAUUUUAAAAAUUUAAAUUUAACUUUCUUUAUAUAAUUUUAAAUUUUAUUUUUUAAAAAUAUAAAUUUUAUAAUUUUAUAAAUAUUUUGAAUUUUAAAAAUUGUUUUGAAUUUUUUUUUUGUUGAGAGAGAUCAAUUUGCUCCUUUUCAAAAUUGACACGGAUUAAAGGGGUAUUUACACCAAUCUAUUAUUUGAGUUGUAAAAUUCAACUCGACUCGAACUCGAAUAACUUAAAAUUCAAUUUUUUUAAUUUUUUUCAAAUUGAAUCGAGUUUUGUUCACCCCUAACCGUAUGUGCAUAUAUUUUAUAUACCAUCAAGUGAUAAUCAAAUGACACAUUAUUACUAGUGUAAAAUAAAAAUUAUUGAAGGGUUUAAAAAUAGUAGACAUUGGUGAACAUUUUCAUAAUGUUCUUAUUAUUCAUUAGUAUUGUUGUUUGAGGUUUGAUCAAACUCUUGAGAUUGGUUAGAGGUAAAGCUUGCAGAAGAAUUGGUUCUUUAGGGAAAGGAAACAUAAUUUAAUUUUCUUAUUUCCUACAAGCGGGUUCUAUUAUGAGAAUUUCUGAAUUACUAUCAUUGCCUAUCAUUCUGCCACCAAUUUGACAUUAGAAAUGAAAUUUCUCUUAAAAAACAUGUUUCCAUAUAAAAUAAAAAAAUAGAAGAAAGAAUAUUUCAGAAUAUUAUAAAGAAAACCAAAGUAUAGGAAAUACAGUAAAUAAAAGAAAAUACAAAAAUUGAAAAAAAUAGAUAAAUGAUAAAAUGUUAUAGAUGUGAAAAAUCAUGACACAUGUCAAAAUCCCUAAUGCAAAAAUUGUAUUAAAGAUAUCAAAUAUCAAACAUAUUUUGUAAUGAUAAAAGAUAUUACCCAAGACAUUAUAUUAGGAACCCCUUUAUAUCUUUACUCAAACCUUACAAAGUAACAAAUCACAAAGUUAAAAAUCUUAACUUAUUAACAUUUUUAUUCAUUACAAAUCAAUAAUUUAAUUAAUCAUAAAUAGAACAAUUUUUUUUAAAGAAGAAAUAUGUUUUUUUAAAAAAUUAAAUGAAAAAUUAGAAAAAAAACAGAAGUUCAAAGGAGAAUAAAUCAAAUCAAAGAAGAAAUCGAGUCAACAAUAUGCUCUGACAUCUCUAAUGCCUUUUGGAAUAGGAAAAAACAUGAAGUAACAUUACCAUAUGAAAAUGAUUUUGUUGAAAGACAAAUCCUAACAAAAGUAAAGCCAAUAAAAAUGAAUAAAGAGAUGGAAACUUUUGUUAAAAAGAAAGACAAGAUUUUCUCAAUAAAAAAUUAAUAAAAAAAGUAACUUUUCUUACAGUUGUUCAGCAUUUUAUGUGAUGAAAAAUGCAGAACUUGAAAGAGGAACACUAGUAUUAGUCAUUAAUUAUAAACCUCUCAAUCAAUGUAGAAAGGAAUUAUUAUUACUAACAUAAAAAAAAAAUCAAAUUCAAAACUUGACACCCAAAAAAAUUUGGAAUCUAAAAUCCGAAAGAUCAAUAAAAAUUAUAGCUAAUAUUUAAUUAUGUUUAACUAAAAAAUAAAGUUAAAUGUAUUUAUUUUCAAGUCUUUCAAUACUUUUUAUUUUAUACCAAUAAUGAUCUUUCAUAUUAUUAACUGAUGGUGCAUGAAACCUAAACACUGACAAUGCAUCAAAUAUUAUCUCAUAUAUAAAGUUAACAACUAUAUAUUGAAUUCAUGGUUGAAUAAGAAUAUAAAAUUAGGAGACAGAUCCCUAUUUUUUGUAGAGGUAACUUCAAUGUUGAAAUUGUUACUUAUAUGUUUCUACGUGUUUUUUUUUUCAUAAUAAUUUAUUUGACCUUUCAACUUUACAAAAAGAAAUCAUUUUAAGUUUCUACUUAAAUUUUUGUUUCUUUUAUCUUUUAAACUUGUAUUGUUUGUUAACGUCAAUCCACGUGAACUGACACGUAUUUACUACAUUAGCAAUUGAUUAAUUUUUAAAAGAUUAAAAAUAUAUUAUAUACCUUUUUAAUAAUUUUAAAUUUUUAAAAUUUGAAAGAUUAAUUAAUUGUUGAUAUGUCAGUCACGUUUGUGUGAUAUCAGUAAAAUUAACAAAUAUUAACUUUUAUUUUAUUUUAGUAUAAAUUUAAAGAUUAAAAAGGGAAGAAAAAUUAAAUAAAAAAUAUUAUUAUGCGUUUGAGAUAAAUGAUGAGGCAAAGUACAACAAAGGAGUAACAUCAGACAAAGCCAAACACCAGAAUCACAUCAGAAGAGUGCAGAAGAACCUCUAGUGGUGCAAUCAAUUAUCAAUUAGAUAGCCGUGUUUAUUAGUUAAUAUAUUAAUGUAAAAACAAAACUUUCCAUUCAAGCAUAUUUUUUAAUAUAACAAAAUUCAGCUCCAUACUAAAAGUCUCAUUGCUUUAAUACCUUAUCCUUUCAGGAUCUCAAAUACAAAGUUUUAUUCCCUUUUUUUCCAACAAAAAUUUAUGCCUAAUACACAAAUCACUAUUUUUUCAAAGGGAUUCAAAGUUUAAUGAAAAAAUGGGUUGAUGUUACAUUUAAAGUUAUUUAAUUAUUAAUACGAAUACAGUAUCAAUAUAAAAAAUAUUUCAAACAUAUUAUUAACAUCUCAAAAUUUAAUAUGAAUUUCAUGUGAUAGCUUGAUGGUUAAGGGUGUUCAUCAUUCCAGUUGUUACCUGAGUUUAAGUCACACUAGUUAUAUGUAUACUUAUGCUUUGGUGACUAUUAGGUUACCAGGAUAAUGAUGUACAUGGAGUUUUGUAAGUACUAGCAACUGACACUAGUUAGUAAAAGAAAAUUAUUUCAAUAAUUCUUAAAAAUAUAUAAUUAAGAUUCAAGUAUAUUUUGGAAAUUUUUAAUUUAGAGAUGACUUUUAUGUACUAAUUUUUUUUAUGUAAUACAUCCGUUGAAAUUAUUUAUUUAAUUAUGUGAUGUGAGUUUAGUUUUAGUCCCCAACAAUUAUAUUUUAAAUACACUAAAUUAUUAGUAAAUUUAUGUUUUAGUUAUUUAAUUUUAAAAAAUUACAAAAUGGUCAUUGAACUAUUUGAAAGUUUUUAUUGAAGUCAUUAGGCUAUUAAGGUUUUACUUUAAAGUCUUGCUAGCAAGCUUCAAGCAAUGAUUCGAUCCAAGUCGAUUUGACUAUCAAUGUCAAUGAUGGGAGAAAAAUUUUGUUUGAAUUUUGGUUCGCAGAUUCAUGAGUUUAAAAGUUAUUUCUUGAAAAAAAGGUGAAUUGUAGAAGAGAAAGGGAAUGAGAGCUUUCGAUAGAUACAGGUGGUGCAAAUAGAGAAGGCCAUACAAUAAUUUUAAUAGCUCAGUGACUUAAAUGAAAAUUUUUGAAUAGUUUAAUGAUCAAUUUGUAACUUUUUUUUUUAAAUUGAGUAACGAAACAUAAACUUACUAAUAGUUUAGAUCACAAUGGAAGUAGUUUACCUUUAUAUUGUUAAUUUAUUAUACAAAAUUUAUUUAAUUUAAAAAUAAUACUUUAUCAAAAAAAUCCAAAUAGGUUAAAAAUAUUUCUUUAAUUGAAAAGAAUUUGUACUUAGAAGUGAAAAGACACAUCAAGAAUAUGAAUAAAGAAAAGGAAAAGGAAUAUAAAAAAGUUUUGAUGUGAAUGAAGUCUACUAAUUUCAUGCGCAUAAACGUCCUUAUUAUGGACAAUGCAUGCAUGGUGUAAACUAGUAUAUAAGUAGGUGUGUAUUGCAAUAUUUGAAGCAUAACACAACCAAAACAAGCUUUAGCUAACCAAAGCACAUACAAAGCUACCAUGGCUAAUUUUCAAAUGAAAAAAGUUCAACAAUGCACACACGGCAAGCUGUGGAACUCUUCCAGCGAAGCUCUAACCUUGACCGACAAGAAAGUUUGGCAAGGCUCUCAUUAUGCGGAUUUCCCAGAAAUAAUUGAAGAUGGGGAUGCGAGUGAGUUUACACAUGAAUCAGUGACUGAUGAUGCUGAUAUUCAUGGUUCAGUUGCUGGUCUUGUGUACAGGCGACGUGAUGGAACUAAGUGGAUUGUUGCCUGGAGCAACCCACAAGCUGAGAACAGCAAGGUAUAUAUUGCAUUCAAUUCAAUCUUACCAUUAAUUAACUAAUUAGAAUGUGUAUAAAUAAUCAUUUAAUUUAUGAUUCAUUUCAUGCAUGUUGCAGGUCUAUACUGAUAUCCAGAGACAACCUGUUCACUGGGGGCAAAUCAAAACCAACCUUGAGAAAAGAGGAAAACCAAAAUUUAAAGUUACAAAGUUUGGUUACAAUGCAUCUAUUGAAAUUGAUCCCGUGAGUCGUUCACCCACAAUGAAGGCAUCAUUUGAGUUAGAGGCAUAACUGCCUUAUCGUCUUCAUCAAGCUGUGGUGGUAAUUAAGGCUAUCAAAAUUAAAUAAUAGUGUGAUGCUUGCUGCUGCAUUACCUGUACUACUAUUAUAGUAAAAAGAUUUGAUAGCCA